CCUACGGGUGGCAGCAGUGGGGCAUAUUGCACAAUGGGGGAAACCCUGAUGCAGCGACGCCGCGUGAGCGAUGAAGUUCUUCGGUAUGUAAAGCUCUAUUCGCCGGGGAGAAAAUCGCGGUAACUGACUACGAUGCCCCCGCUAACUCCCUGCCAGCAGCCGCGGUAAUACGUAGGGGGGAAGCGUUUUCCGGAUGUACUGGGGGGAAAGGGGGCGUAGAGGGCUGUGCAAGCCAGAUGUUAAAGCCCCGCGCUCAACCUUGGGGGUGCAUUGAGAACUGUGUGGCUGGAGUGUCGGAGAGGCAGGCGGAAUUCCUAGUGUAGCGGUGAAAUGCGUAGAUAUUAGGAGGAACACCAGUGGCGAAGGCGGCGUGCUGGACGUUGACUGACGUUGAGGCUCGAAAGCGUGGGGAGCAAACAGGAUUAGAUACCCCAGUAGUC
RNAcentral lists this ribosomal RNA (440 nucleotides) under uncultured bacterium. RNAcentral describes it as "partial 16S ribosomal RNA". It matches the Rfam family "Bacterial small subunit ribosomal RNA", at positions 338 to 795 of the family's 1533-position model. The record is from RNAcentral.